This 132-nucleotide small RNA is filed under the name Escherichia coli. RNAcentral describes it as "RtT sRNA". It matches the Rfam family "RtT RNA". Rfam says of the family: This family represents a bacterial cis-regulatory element known as RtT RNA. The exact function of RtT is unknown although it is thought that it may be involved in changing the cellular response in relation to amino acid starvation. The record is from RNAcentral. Lineage: Bacteria; Pseudomonadati; Pseudomonadota; Gammaproteobacteria; Enterobacterales; Enterobacteriaceae.
AUUCUGCCCAUGCGGGGAAGGAUGAGAAGCUUCGACCAAGGUUCGACUCGAGCGCCAGCGAGAGAGCGUUGCCGCAGGCAACGACCCGAAGGGCGAAGCGCGCAGCGCUGAGUGCGUCACCCUGAACUGAGU